UAACAUUUGUUAUCCUUAUUUUGUUUACAGCAACUAAUUGACUAAAAACAGCUGAAAAUGUAGCCAACUGAAACGACAAGCCUAUAGAUUAUAGGUAAUAUAAUUGGGUGAGUCAGACCGUCUCAGAUGAGCCCGGGCACAGAGAAGCCACCAGCAUUUAUGGCAGUUCGUCAUACACCAGGGGUGUGCAAACCUUUUGCAAGGAGGGCCAGAUUUGAUAAAGUGAAGGGGCCCGGGGGCCAAUAGUUUUUUUCGGACAUUUUCUAACUACAAAAG
Syngnathus acus (greater pipefish) is the source of this 276-nucleotide long non-coding RNA. RefSeq lists it as uncharacterized. The record is from RefSeq and is a predicted model, not a curated record. The transcript is spliced from 3 exons. NCBI's taxonomy places the organism in Eukaryota, Metazoa, Chordata, Actinopteri, Syngnathiformes, Syngnathidae.